GCCGGAGUGGCGGAAUGGUAGACGCAGCGGACUCAAAAUCCGCCGGGGGCAACCCCGUGGGAGUUCGAGUCUCCCCUCCGGCA
RNAcentral lists this transfer RNA (83 nucleotides) under Dethiosulfovibrio peptidovorans DSM 11002. It matches the Rfam family "tRNA". Rfam says of the family: Transfer RNA (tRNA) molecules are approximately 80 nucleotides in length. The record is from Rfam by way of RNAcentral. Lineage: Bacteria; Thermotogati; Synergistota; Synergistia; Synergistales; Dethiosulfovibrionaceae.